Molecule: ribosomal RNA, 437 nt
Filed under: Batillaria cumingii
Lineage: Eukaryota; Metazoa; Mollusca; Gastropoda; Batillariidae
Description: partial 12S ribosomal RNA
Rfam family: Microsporidia small subunit ribosomal RNA
Source: RNAcentral
UUCAAAGCUUCAAACUGGGAUUAGAUACCCCACUAUUCUUAGAUAUAAAUUGGUUAAAUUUCCUACCAGAGUACUAUGAACUAUAAGUUUAAAACUCAAAGAACUUGGCGGUGCCUUAGACCCCUCAGGGGAACCUGUUCCGUAAUCGACAGUCCACGUUAGACCUCUCCUUUUUUUGCUUUAUUCAGUAUGUAUACCGUCGUCGUCAGGUAACUUUUUAAAAUAACAAAGUUAGCGAAAAAGCUUUUAGCUUUUACGUCAGAUCAAGGUGCAGCUAAUAGAAAGGUGAGAAUGGGUUACAAUUAGAAUUAGUAAUAUGGAAAGCAGAGUGAAAUCUCUUCUUGAAGGAGGACUUGAAAGUAAGAUCAAAAAAUCUAAAUUUUCUGAAUUUUUGGCUCUGAGGCGUGCACACACCGCCCGUCACCCUCUGCAGUCAA